GAACACCUAUGCUACUCACACACCGUGCCGAACUCGUCAGUUCUUCAUUCAUGCUACCUCACCUGUUCGCCGCUGCAGGAUGACUAAAACGAUAUCUGACGGUGGCAGUUUUCUCCUUACCAGCAGCCACAAGUGAUUACUCAAGUGCUUUAUAUUCCUGAGCUGAGCAGGUGCACUUGGCAAUAUGCGAUGCCACCAGUGAGGAAAGAGGCCACUCUACACCUGUAGAAUUCAUGAGAACAGAUGAGGAAAUGGAAGAUUUCCCAUACACAGCCUCAUACUGGCUUCUUUGACAUUCAUUGGCACAGCUCUUGUCCUCAUGUUGAACAAUGGCAACUACAGUCUCCAAAGGAUAGAUGCAAGCCCAGGUAUUUCAUGCCUGCAUUAAAGAAGCAAUACAACCCACCAGAUUUAUAACAAACACCUGUGACAACAAAAUGUCCCAGACAUUAUGGUGCCUUGAAAUGGAGGACCAUGUAUGAAAAGUGUUCUAAUUUCUAUAUGGCAAGACAGAAAUGUAUGCAGAUAAC
Molecule: long non-coding RNA, 530 nt
Organism: Erpetoichthys calabaricus (reedfish)
Lineage: Eukaryota; Metazoa; Chordata; Cladistia; Polypteriformes; Polypteridae
Exons: 3
Source: RefSeq, a predicted model, not a curated record